Molecule: ribosomal RNA, 491 nt
Filed under: uncultured bacterium
Lineage: Bacteria
Description: partial 16S ribosomal RNA
Rfam family: Bacterial small subunit ribosomal RNA
Source: RNAcentral
AGUGAACGCUGGCGGUAGGCCUAACACAUGCAAGUCGAACGGCAGCACAGUAAGAGCUUGCUCUUACGGGUGGCGAGUGGCGGACGGGUGAGGAAUACAUCGGAAUCUACUUUUUCGUGGGGGAUAACGUAGGGAAACUUACGCUAAUACCGCAUACGACCUACGGGUGAAAGCAGGGGAUCUUCGGACCUUGCGCGAUUGAAUGAGCCGAUGUCGGAUUAGCUAGUUGGCGGGGUAAAGGCCCACCAAGGCGACGAUCCGUAGCUGGCCUGAGAGGAUGAUCAGCCACACUGGAACUGAGACACGGUCCAGACUCCUACGGGAGGCAGCAGUGGGGAAUAUUGGACAAUGGGCGCAAGCCUGAUCCAGCCAUACCGCGUGGGUGAAGAAGGCCUUCGGGUUGUAAAGCCCUUUUGUUGGGAAAGAAAAGCAGCAGGUUAAGACCCCGCUGUUCUGACGGUACCCAAAGAAUAAGCACCGGCUAACUUCGU